RNAcentral lists this ribosomal RNA (253 nucleotides) under uncultured bacterium. RNAcentral's name for it is "partial 16S ribosomal RNA". It matches the Rfam family "Bacterial small subunit ribosomal RNA", at positions 524 to 776 of the family's 1533-position model. The record is from RNAcentral.
UACGGAGGGUGCGAGCGUUAUCCGGAUUCACUGGGUUUAAAGGGUGCGUAGGUGGGCAGGUAAGUCAGUGGUGAAAUCUCCGGGCUUAACCCGGAAACUGCCAUUGAUACUAUCGGUCUUGAAUACCGUGGAGGUGAGCGGAAUAUGUCAUAUAGCGGUGAAAUGCUUAGAUAUGACAUAGAACACCAAUUGCGAAGGCAGCUCACUACACGAAUAUUGACACUGAGGCACGAAAGCGUGGGGAUCAAACAGG